CAUCUGACCGGCCUUGAAGAGGCGACUCCCUUCCGGGCGAGAUGUGUAGGUGCUGCAUGGUUGUCGUCAGCUCGUGCCGUGAGGUGUCGGCUUAAGUGCCAUAACGAGCGCAACCUCAUCAUUAGUUACCAUCAGGUAAGGCUGGGGACUCUAAUGAGACUGCCAUCGUAAGAUGUGAGGAAGGUGGGGAUGACGUCAAAUCAGCACGGCCCUUACGUCCGGGGCGACACACGUGUUACAAUGGGUGGUACAAAGGGCAGCUACCUGGCGACAGGAUGCUAAUCUCGAAAACCGCUCUCAGUUCGGAUCGGAGUCUGCAACUCGACUCCGUGAAGCUGGAUUCGCUAGUAAUCGCGCAUCAGCCACGGCGCGGUGAAUACGUUCCCGGGCCUU
This 393-nucleotide ribosomal RNA is filed under the name uncultured Proteiniphilum sp. Its description in RNAcentral is "bacterial SSU rRNA". It matches the Rfam family "Bacterial small subunit ribosomal RNA", at positions 989 to 1382 of the family's 1533-position model. The record is from RNAcentral. Lineage: Bacteria; Pseudomonadati; Bacteroidota; Bacteroidia; Bacteroidales; Dysgonomonadaceae.